This 362-nucleotide ribosomal RNA is filed under the name Hoplobatrachus rugulosus (rugose frog). RNAcentral's name for it is "partial 12S rRNA". Lineage: Eukaryota; Metazoa; Chordata; Amphibia; Anura; Dicroglossidae. The record is from RNAcentral.
CCCGUGAGGACGCCCUUUACCCCUACCCCAGGCUUAGGAGCUGGUAUCAGGCGCAACUUUUACGCCCAUAACACCUAGUCCCACCACACCCCCAAGGGUACUCAGCAGUGAUAAACAUUGUCUAUAAGCGCCAGCUUGACCCAGUUAUAAAGAAGAGGGCCGGCCAACUUGGUGCCAGCCGCCGCGGCUAGACCAACUGGACUCAAAUUGAUAAUUCCCGGCGUUAAGCGUGAUUAAAGCCACACACCAAUUAGAGUUAAACCUAUGUUGAGCAGUGAAAAGCACACGAUAGGGAAACCCAGAAACGAAAGUUACUCUAAUCUCUGCUUGAAUACACGACAGCUAGAAAACAAACUGGGAUU